RNAcentral lists this ribosomal RNA (789 nucleotides) under uncultured Bacteroides sp. Its description in RNAcentral is "bacterial SSU rRNA". It matches the Rfam family "Bacterial small subunit ribosomal RNA", at positions 385 to 1177 of the family's 1533-position model. Lineage: Bacteria; Pseudomonadati; Bacteroidota; Bacteroidia; Bacteroidales; Bacteroidaceae. The record is from RNAcentral.
GANCCAGCCAAGUAGCGUGAAGGAUGACUGCCCUAUGGGUNGUAAACUUCUUUUAUAAAGGAAUAAAGUCGGGUAUGGAUACCCGUUUGCAUGUACUUUAUGAAUAAGGAUCGGCUAACUCCGUGCCAGCAGCCGCGGUAAUACGGAGGAUCCGAGCGUUAUCCGGAUUUAUUGGGUUUAAAGGGAGCGUAGAUGGAUGUUUAAGUCAGUUGUGAAAGUUUGCGGCUCAACCGUAAAAUUGCAGUUGAUACUGGAUAUCUUGAGUGCAGUUGAGGCAGGCGGAAUUCGUGGUGUAGCGGUGAAAUGCUUAGAUAUCACGAAGAACUCCGAUUGCGAAGGCAGCCUGCUAAGCUGCAACUGACAUUGAGGCUCGAAAGUGUGGGUAUCAAACAGGAUUAGAUACCCUGGUAGUCCACACGGUAAACGAUGAAUACUCGCUGUUUGCGAUAUACGGCAAGCGGCCAAGCGAAAGCGUUAAGUAUUCCACCUGGGGAGUACGCCGGCAACGGUGAAACUCAAAGGAAUUGACGGGGGCCCGCACAAGCGGAGGAACAUGUGGUUUAAUUCGAUGAUACGCGAGGAACCUUACCCGGGCUUAAAUUGCAGAUGAAUUACGGUGAAAGCCGUAAGCCGCAAGGCAUCUGUGAAGGUGCUGCAUGGUUGUCGUCAGCUCGUGCCGUGAGGUGUCGGCUUAAGUGCCAUAACGAGCGCAACCCUUGUUGUCAGUUACUAACAGGUUCCGCUGAGGACUCUGACAAGACUGCCAUCGUAAGAUGUGAGGAAGGUGGA